AGAGCGCGACACGUGGAUGAUGCAUCAUCAACGGUCAAGAUUAGAUUGGUUUGAAAGGGUUAUUAAAUCCGGUUUAAGUGGAUGAUUCGAACCACCAUUUUUGAACCGGUCCUUUACCAAACAACUCAUUUGCAGGUUGCCCUCUCUCGCACGACGCGCUCAUCUCUCGCUGCUCACAGAGGAGAAACCCUAACGGUGGUUUCUUCUGCUGCUCCCGGUCAAGGUCGAAGCUCACGAAGGGGUUUUUCCCGUAGGCGAAAGGGAUUAGUUGUGGUUUCUUCUGCUGCUCCCGGUCAAGGUCGAAGCUCACGAAGGGGUUUUUCCUGUAGGCGAAAGGGAUUAGUUGUCUCUCUAUCUUGCGAAGGGGAUUUUUUGCUAGGUUUGAGUCACUAUCGCGCCGAACUUUUUUCUGGGUUUGAUUCAUUCACUGUUAGUUUUUUUUUUUUUUUUUCCUGCUUGGUGUUGUUCUACAACAGAGGUUUCUUGCCACGAAGGGGUUUUUUUUUCCUGCUCUGUCGCGGUCUCCUCCCCUCGUGAAGGUCUCUCUUCCUUCAGAGGUAUGUUUCCAGAUCUGAACAAGUAAUGUAGUGUUGUCUCUCUGCUCUGUCGCGGUCCACUUGUUAGUUCAGUGACAAUCCCUACUUUGGGAAUUGGGAUCCUAUCCAGAGGAGGUAAGCAACAUCAGGUUAGUUUCUAUUUCUUGUCUUCUUACCUCUGUUAUGAUGAGCAUGGGAAUCAAGUCUGUAUAUAUCCCAUGUUGGGACAUGUAACAGCUUUUUAAUCAAAGAAUGGAACAGAGUUGAGUUGCAGAUAUGCUGCUGUUAGUAUAUUUUUGCUACCGCAGGCCAGUGUCAGCAUAUUUCCUGGGUCAUUUCUUACAGGAGUGGAUUUUUCAUGUUCUUCUCUCCUUUUAAGUUUAGCUGAGAUCAAUCAGACAGGUUAUAUAGACUUGAACAGUCCAAACUCAAUGGUUUAGAGAAAUUCUUUCAGAUUUUGAUAGAUAUACUUAGCCUCAGCAUGAAAUUGAAUUUCAGGAACAGAAAUUUGUCUCUGAAUGUAAGCCCCAUAAAAUACACCCAAGUUUGUCUGAUUGAAUGGAAAAUUUGAUGACAAACCAAAUUUCCAAAGUUUUGUUUUUUCCCCCUGAAAGCAAGAAUCAAAGUACAGCACCAGACAACAAUGUUGUGUUAUGUUUUGGGAUCUUGAAUAGGUUUGAACUUAUUUGAUAGACCAUCUGUUAGGUCUGUAUUGUAUUGUCUAAAAACAGGAAGGGA
Molecule: long non-coding RNA, 1274 nt
Organism: Macadamia integrifolia
Lineage: Eukaryota; Viridiplantae; Streptophyta; Magnoliopsida; Proteales; Proteaceae
Exons: 2
Source: RefSeq, a predicted model, not a curated record